UCAGCGGCCUUGCUGGAGGCUCAAAAAUUCACUUCACCAUUCCAGGGAGUUUUGUGCUUGCAGGCGAGUUAUUUCUAGUUAGGUUGAUAUAUUUGGAUGUAUUGUCGAGUGAUCUACCACUUGCACAUAUGUGUUAAUUCUGGAAGAAUGCGCUUCUUUUUUCUCAAUAGUUCUUCUUGCUGCUAUGUUCAUGGAUGAAUUCUUACUCAUUUCCUUGUCACACAUUGUGUAAUACUAUAGGAAUAUGCCUCACACGUUUCCAUCCGUCCUAAUAUUCCUAUUUAUUGUAUAUAUAAUCCUUAAUUUGAUCUUUCCUUACAAAGUCUGAAACCGACCUUGCUUCAGCCAAAGUGUGUCUGUUUGUUUGAUUGCAUACUCAUCGUAGUUGUAAUUCAAUCCGUUGCAAUGAACAUCCACGCGAGGCUGCAGGAUGGUUGUGAUUUGCAAAGACAAUGUUUCUCUUAAUUAACUAAUCGCAGACUCAUUUUAAUUGUUGAUCCGCCUGUUAAGUUUAGCGUGGAGUUUUGGUUUGACCUUUUCAUUGCGGUGCUUGCAGAAUGGUGUAGCCGCAGAACUGCACAAUUAACCAGUGACGACGAGCAAAAUUGCAGAUCUUUUCGUCGUGCCUACACGUUGUGGAGCCACCGACCUGCCUGAGCCGCCCCCGAUCAUGCCAUAUCCGCGAGAGAAAUCUAUGGUACUGCUUUCUUAAGUUGUAAGCUUUUGUGUUCCCAUAGAAUUUAAGAUGGUGAAGUUACUGGAUGUAGGAACUAUGGUUUACUAUGACGGUAAGACGUUUUGUUGUUUCUUGAUUUGUUUCAGUAAGAACUUCAGUGCUCGAGUCAGAAACUUGUACUAUUUCACCUUGCUCCAAUUGCUCAGUCAGAACUCAUGGUUCUCCAUUGGCUAAUUUCUCAGAUUAGGAGUUGAGAUAAACAUCAAUAUGCUAAAGAUUACAGAGAAGUUUCCCAGUCUAGAAAAGAAAAUAUGAUGCCAAGAUGAUCUAUGCAGCUGCGAUGCUGAAAAGUUUGUAUUGCAACAUAAAUGGAUUGUGCAUGGCUCAGAUGUUGAUUGCAAGGCUGAGAAUGGGCUACUAUUAGAUAAUUAGAGUUGUCAUUUUCAGGACAAUGUUUCAAUAGUUGAUUGUAAGGUCAAGAAUUUGGCUAGUACUAGAUAAAAACAUUAUAGCAAUUGCUGGUUGAGAAUUUGGCUACUACUAUAGAUAGUUUCACAUCUUGCAAUCUUUCAAUCAUAUUCUUUGUAAUGCAACAUAGUUGAUUUAAUA
Molecule: non-coding RNA, 1285 nt
Organism: Triticum urartu
Lineage: Eukaryota; Viridiplantae; Streptophyta; Magnoliopsida; Poales; Poaceae
Source: RefSeq, a predicted model, not a curated record